Molecule: long non-coding RNA, 286 nt
Organism: Asterias rubens (European starfish)
Lineage: Eukaryota; Metazoa; Echinodermata; Asteroidea; Forcipulatida; Asteriidae
Exons: 3
Source: RefSeq, a predicted model, not a curated record
CAUGGAUGGAGAGGAGUGACUUGCUUCUUCGAGAGAAUUUUGCCCGCAUUUGGCUCCAUUUUACCGUUUCCUGAAAAAGAAACGGUAGUUAUGAAGUGCAAAACAUGUGCUCACAAAGUAAAUGCAAAAACUGCAUUACAAAUACAUGGUGUGGUCUAUCAGUUAUCAUUCAUACCUGCGUCUCAACUCUCACAAGAAUGUUGAAGGUCGUCAGGAGGUCGUCGACCAGAAAGACCUAGGACCACUGAUUGACAGGGCAUGUGCCAAGUGCCGUCACGAUGGACUU